This 84-nucleotide ribosomal RNA is filed under the name Azadirachta indica (neem). RNAcentral's name for it is "partial 5.8S ribosomal RNA". It matches the Rfam family "5.8S ribosomal RNA", at positions 73 to 154 of the family's 154-position model. Rfam says of the family: 5.8S ribosomal RNA (5.8S rRNA) is a component of the large subunit of the eukaryotic ribosome. It is transcribed by RNA polymerase I as part of the 45S precursor that also contains 18S and 28S rRNA. Functionally, it is thought that 5.8S rRNA may be involved in ribosome translocation. The record is from RNAcentral. Lineage: Eukaryota; Viridiplantae; Streptophyta; Magnoliopsida; Sapindales; Meliaceae.
UGCAGAAUCCCGUGAACCAUCGAGUCUUUGAACGCAAGUUGCGCCCCAAGCCAUCAGGCCGAGGGCACGUCUGCCUGGGUGUCA